Molecule: ribosomal RNA, 232 nt
Filed under: uncultured bacterium
Lineage: Bacteria
Description: partial 16S ribosomal RNA
Rfam family: Bacterial small subunit ribosomal RNA
Source: RNAcentral
UGGGUAACCUGCCCUGUACACACGGAUAACAUACCGAAAGGUAUGCUAAUACGAGAUAAUAUGCUUUUAUCGCAUGGUAGAAGUAUCAAAGCUUUUGCGGUACAGGAUGGACCCGCGUCUGAUUAGCUAGUUGGUGAGGUAACGGCUCACCAAGGCGACGAUCAGUAGCCGACCUGAGAGGGUGAUCGGCCACAUUGGAACUGAGACACGGUCCAAACUCCUACGGGAGCAG